RNAcentral lists this ribosomal RNA (254 nucleotides) under uncultured bacterium. RNAcentral describes it as "partial 16S ribosomal RNA". It matches the Rfam family "Bacterial small subunit ribosomal RNA", at positions 524 to 776 of the family's 1533-position model. The record is from RNAcentral.
UACGGAGGGUGCAAGCGUUAUCCGGAUUUACUGGGUUUAAAGGGUGUGUAGGCGGGUCUUUUAAGUCAGUGGUGAAAUCUCCGAGCUCAACUUGGAAACUGCCAUUGAUACUAUUGAUCUUGAAUUUUGUUGAGGUAGGCGGAAUAAGUCAUGUAGCGGUGAAAUGCAUAGAUAUGACUUAGAACACCAAUUGCGAAGGCAGCUUACUAAGCAAAUAUUGACGCUGAGGCACGAAAGCGUGGGGAUCAAACAGG